Molecule: ribosomal RNA, 454 nt
Filed under: uncultured bacterium
Lineage: Bacteria
Description: partial 16S ribosomal RNA
Rfam family: Bacterial small subunit ribosomal RNA
Source: RNAcentral
GAUGAACGCUGACAGAAUGCUUAACACAUGCAAGUCUACUUGAACUUCGGUUUGGGUGGCGGACGGGUGAGUAACGCGUAAAGAACUUGCCUCACAGUUAGGGACAACACUUGGAAACGAAUGCUAAUACCUGAUAUUAUGAUUUUAGGGCAUCCUAGGAUUAUGAAAGCUAUAUGUGCUGUGAGAGAGCUUUGCGUCCCAUUAGCUAGUUGGAGAGGUAACGGCUCACCAAGGCGAUGAUGGGUAGCCGGCCUGAGAGGGUGAACGGCCACAAGGGGACUGAGACACGGCCCUUACUCCUACGGGAGGCAGCAGUGGGGAAUAUUGGACAAUGGACCAAAAGUCUGAUCCAGCAAUUCUGUGUGCACGAUGACGUUUUUCGGAAUGUAAAGUGCUUUCAGUUGGGAAGAAAAAAAUGACGGUACCAACAGAAGAAGUGACGGCUAAAUACGUG